CACGAACCGUACGAACGUUAUUCGGAAUUACUGGGCUUAAAGGGUUUGUAGGCGGCCAUGUAAGUCAGGUGUGAAAUCCCUCGGCUCAACCGAGGAACGGCGCUUGAUACUGCAUGGCUUGAGGGAGACAGGGGUAAGCGGAACUGAUGGUGGAGCGGUGAAAUGCGUUGAUAUCAUCAGGAACACCGGUGGCGAAAGCGGCUUACUGGACCGACACUGACGCUGAGGCGCGAAAGCUAGGGGAGCAAACGGG
RNAcentral lists this ribosomal RNA (253 nucleotides) under uncultured bacterium. RNAcentral describes it as "partial 16S ribosomal RNA". It matches the Rfam family "Bacterial small subunit ribosomal RNA", at positions 524 to 776 of the family's 1533-position model. The record is from RNAcentral.